This 1361-nucleotide long non-coding RNA is filed under the name Coffea arabica (coffee). RNAcentral describes it as "long non-coding RNA (CARA_LNC000149)". Lineage: Eukaryota; Viridiplantae; Streptophyta; Magnoliopsida; Gentianales; Rubiaceae. The record is from RNAcentral.
AAAAGGAAGGAAAAAAAAAAAAACUCCACCUUUGCUCCAGCAUAUACCAAGCUCUCGGCUCUCUCCCUAAAAAAAGGAGACAAGACACAGAACAAAAAAAAAAAAAACUUCGGCUUUCCUUGAGCUUUCAACGGACAGAAAAAAGCCAAACAAAAGAAAUUUUGGGUGCCUGAGGCUCCUGACUCUCCAUUUUUAUUCGGCUACCAACACAUUCUCUCCUUCAUUGAGGUACUUAUUUAUAUUUUUUUCUUUUUCUAGCUUUCCUUUCCUCAAUUAAUCAGAUUAAAUUCAUGCUGCCAUUUAUUUGUCCCUUGCUUUCGUUUGUUGUUGUUGCUAUUGAUGUUGUUGAAGUUUUGGGUAAAGCCAUGAAUAAACAUUAGGAAAAAGAUGAUUUCUGUGAAUGCAUGUUAGGUGUUUGUUAAAAUGCAAAAAUGGAAAACGAAUUAAAAGCUGAAUAUUGUGCAUGUUUUUCUUGUCAAAAUAGAUAACCGUUUGCUAGUGUAGGUCUGAAAAUGUUGGAAUUAUCUAAAUAUUUUGGAGUUUUUGAGCUUUAAAGGCAUUGAAGUAGUUUUCUUCAUUUAGGGGCUGUUUUUGCUUUAAUUUAGCCAUUUUAUGUUGUUUUCUUGUCAAAUUAAAAUCAUAAUUGUAUUAUAGAAGUUGUAAGAGUGUUGUAGUAUAAUUUUUAUGAUUUUUGGUGAAAGAUAGGGUGAUUUGAAAAAUAAAAAUUGCUGCUGUUUUUUGGCAUUUUGGCCACCUUCAGGUCAUUUUUUCUAAAAAUUAACUUCGAAAAUGGAAUCUACGCGACAAAUGAGUGAGGGGUGUAUUUUGGCAAUUUUGGCGACCAAAAAAUUCGCCGGUGGCCGGCGACGAGCUGCCAUGGCCGCCAGCUGAAGCUUCUUCAGCUGGCCAAAGAAGAAGAGAAAGAAACGACUGGGAAGUGGAGGAAGAAGGAAGAAAAGAAAAGGAAAGAAAAGAAAGAAAAGGGAUGAGUUGGGCUAAUUUUUAUUUGUUUUGUGGGCUUGUUUCUUAUUUUUGGUUGGGCUAGAAAGUCAGACCCAUAUUUUAUUUUGGUUGGAUUUGAGUGAUAAAAGACAGGUUGGCUUGUGUAUUUUGGCUUGGACUUUUGUUGGGUUAAGGUAGUAUCUGGUCCAAGCGCCUGUUGGGUUAGGAAGACCAGAAAUGAAUUUGCUCUUUUGCCCCUAUACUUUUACGUUAUUGUAUUGUGACCCUAAUUACUUUAAGUUUCUUCAAUUAGGUCCUUAAUUAAUUGCAAAUAGGUCCCUAAACUUUAUUUUCCUUUAAUUUGGACCUCAAAUAUUUGUAGUAAUUAUAAUUUAACCCUAAAACUUAAUUAAUCUUUG